This 1169-nucleotide long non-coding RNA is filed under the name Sorghum bicolor (sorghum). Its description in RNAcentral is "long non-coding RNA (SBIC_LNC000880)". The record is from RNAcentral. Lineage: Eukaryota; Viridiplantae; Streptophyta; Magnoliopsida; Poales; Poaceae.
AGUCUAGGUAGUUGACGGAUAUGAUCUAGGAAGAUUUUGAGCUGCUAUCAAUCUUGCUCCUAGAGAUGCUAGAAUUCUAGAGAAUUUUAUUUUGAAAAUCUUAAAUUGCUACAUGACGGGUUCCUUUAUGACGAGGGUUUUUAAAAUUCCUACCACAGCCAAAUACUUAUGCUUACUAGAUUAGGAAAACCUCCACUUAUAUUUCAACCUAUAAGCAUUGAGCGUAGUUAUGCUGUGUAGACCCUAUGGAACUAGUCAUGUAGUUAAAGUCAAUAUUAUGUGCUCUCCAUCUAUUGAUCUUAGCUACUUCUAUCCUUAGAAGUAUGCAACCACUUUCAUCCACCACAUUCACUAUGUGCUACUUCUGUUCCUAGAAGUACCACCCACAUAUACGCACUACACUCUGUGUUGUUUCUAUCCUAGAGACACACACCUAUGCUGCUCCUACCCUAGGAGUAUGCAUUCCUUCAUUCACCCACACACAUUCCACAUCCACUUAGAAAAUGUUCUACUCCUACACUGAGAGAAGACACCCAAAAAUAUUCAUGUAUUAUUCUACUUAUCUAAUAAAGCCCCAGUUAUCCCAGUUGAUACUCCCUACUGUUAUCAUUGAAUUAAAAGGGAUGGCUGAUCUCUAAAAAAAGAGAGAAAAAAGAGAAAAAGAAAGAAAGAGGACAAAAGUCCCAAUGCAAAAGAAAAGAAAGACAACCAAAUCCUUGUUCUCAGAUUAGGGAAGUAUGUUAUCCCCACGGAGCAAUUGUAGAAUAAGAUAUUCACCAUUAGUUAUCACCCUUGAAAAGCAUCUAGGCCCCUAAUGAGUUUCGGUGAUAAAUUACAAUGUUGAUUACUAUGACUAACGUGUGUUUUGCAGAGGCAAAGUCAUUAGUGUUAGGUCAAGGUAAUAGGUACUCGAUGGACAAGGACGUUCAUGCCAACUUAAUGGUGGAAAUCAUUUCGAUUUUCAAAGGAUAGUUGGACAUUGUCAAGACUAGACUAGGUCUAAGUACCAUAUGGUGAAGAAGGACACUUAGAGUAGUUUAGGACUUUGUUUUCCUUUGACCGUAUUAUUAAGAGGGGCAUUGAUCCAGUAGCUUGACCUAGGCAAGGCUUUAGGUUUAGGUGUGGUGCACACUUGGUAAACCUAGCACUAGGCAGCUCAGAGAUAGUUC